RNAcentral lists this ribosomal RNA (581 nucleotides) under uncultured bacterium. RNAcentral's name for it is "partial 16S ribosomal RNA". It matches the Rfam family "Bacterial small subunit ribosomal RNA", at positions 355 to 932 of the family's 1533-position model. The record is from RNAcentral.
UGGGGAAUUUUGGACAAUGGGCGAAAGCCUGAUCCAGCAAUGCCGCGUGUGUGAAGAAGGCCUUCGGGUUGUAAAGCACUUUUGUCCGGAAAGAAAUCCUCUGGGUUAAUACCUCGGGGGGAUGACGGUACCGGAAGAAUAAGCACCGGCUAACUACGUGCCAGCAGCCGCGGUAAUACGUAGGGUGCAAGCGUUAAUCGGAAUUACUGGGCGUAAAGCGUGCGCAGGCGGUUUUGUAAGACGGAUGUGAAAUCCCCGGGCUUAACCUGGGAACUGCAUUCGUGACUGCAAGGCUAGAGUAUGGCAGAGGGGGGUAGAAUUCCACGUGUAGCAGUGAAAUGCGUAGAGAUGUGGAGGAAUACCGAUGGCGAAGGCAGCCCCCUGGGCCAAUACUGACGCUCAUGCACGAAAGCGUGGGGAGCAAACAGGAUUAGAUACCCUGGUAGUCCACGCCCUAAACGAUGUCAACUAGUUGUUGGGGAUUCAUUUCCUUAGUAACGUAGCUAACGCGUGAAGUUGACCGCCUGGGGGAAGUACGGUCGCAAGAUUAAAACUCAAAGGAAUUGACGGGGUCAUAGCUG